Molecule: unclassified non-coding RNA, 20 nt
Filed under: Mus musculus (house mouse)
Lineage: Eukaryota; Metazoa; Chordata; Mammalia; Rodentia; Muridae
Description: oocyte_clustered_small_RNA43
Source: RNAcentral
AGUGGGCUACAAGUUUUGCA